RNAcentral lists this ribosomal RNA (398 nucleotides) under Neobacillus niacini. RNAcentral's name for it is "bacterial SSU rRNA". It matches the Rfam family "Bacterial small subunit ribosomal RNA", at positions 547 to 946 of the family's 1533-position model. Lineage: Bacteria; Bacillati; Bacillota; Bacilli; Caryophanales; Bacillaceae. The record is from RNAcentral.
GAUUAUUGGGCGUAAGCGCGCGCAGGCGGUCCUUUAAGUCUGAUGUGAAAGCCCACGGCUCAACCGUGGAGGGUCAUUGGAAACUGGGGGACUUGAGUACAGAAGAGGAAAGCGGAAUUCCACGUGUAGCGGUGAAAUGCGUAGAGAUGUGGAGGAACACCAGUGGCGAAGGCGGCUUUCUGGUCUGUAACUGACGCUGAGGCGCGAAAGCGUGGGGAGCAAACAGGAUUAGAUACCCUGGUAGUCCACGCCGUAAACGAUGAGUGCUAAGUGUUAGAGGGUUUCCGCCCUUUAGUGCUGCAGCUAACGCAUUAAGCACUCCGCCUGGGGAGUACGGCCGCAAGGCUGAUACUCAUAGGAAUUGACGGGGGCCCGCACACGCGGUGGAGCAUGUGGUU